RNAcentral lists this ribosomal RNA (405 nucleotides) under uncultured bacterium. RNAcentral's name for it is "bacterial SSU rRNA". It matches the Rfam family "Bacterial small subunit ribosomal RNA", at positions 362 to 758 of the family's 1533-position model. The record is from RNAcentral.
UUUUGGACAAUGGGCGCAAGCCUGAUCCAGCCAUGCCGCGUGAGUGAAGAAGGCCUUCGGGUUGUAAAGCUCUUUCGGCCGGGACGAAACGGUUCGUGCUAAUACCACGGACUACUGACGGUACCCGCAGAAGAAGCACCGGCUAACUACGUGCCAGCAGCCGCGGUAAUACGUAGGGUGCAGGCGUUAAUCGGAAUUACUGGGCGUAAAGCGUGCGCAGGCGGUUUGUUAAGACAGGUGUGAAAUCCCCGGGCUUAACCUGGGAAUUGCGCUUGUAACUGGCAGACUGGAGUGUGGCAGAGGGGGGUGGAAUUCCAAGUGUAGCAGUGAAAUGCGUAGAUAUUUUGAGGAACACCGAUGGCGAAGGCUAGCCCCCUGGGCUAACACUGACGCUCAUGCACGAAA